RNAcentral lists this ribosomal RNA (813 nucleotides) under Streptomyces malachitofuscus. Its description in RNAcentral is "bacterial SSU rRNA". It matches the Rfam family "Bacterial small subunit ribosomal RNA", at positions 103 to 925 of the family's 1533-position model. The record is from RNAcentral. Lineage: Bacteria; Bacillati; Actinomycetota; Actinomycetes; Kitasatosporales; Streptomycetaceae.
CGGGUGAGCAAUUAAAGGGCAAUCUGCCCUGCACUCUGGGACAAGCCCUGGCAAUGGGGUCUAAUACCGGAUACUGACCGUCACGGGCAUCCGUGAGGGUCGAAAGCUCCGGCGGUGCAGGAUGAGCCCGCGGCCUAUCAGCUUGUUGGUGAGGUAACGGCUCACCAAGGCGACGACGGGUAGCCGGCCUGAGAGGGCGACCGGCCACACUGGGACUGAGACACGGCCCAGACUCCUACGGGAGGCAGCAGUGGGGAAUAUUGCACAAUGGGCGAAAGCCUGAUGCAGCGACGCCGCGUGAGGGAUGACGGCCUUCGGGUUGUAAACCUCUUUCAGCAGGGAAGAAGCGAAAGUGACGGUACCUGCAGAAGAAGCGCCGGCUAACUACGUGCCAGCAGCCGCGGUAAUACGUAGGGCGCGAGCGUUGUCCGGAAUUAUUGGGCGUAAAGAGCUCGUAGGCGGCUUGUCACGUCGGUUGUGAAAGCCCGGGGCUUAACCCCGGGUCUGCAGUCGAUACGGGCAGGCUAGAGUUCGGUAGGGGAGAUCGGAAUUCCUGGUGUAGCGGUGAAAUGCGCAGAUAUCAGGAGGAACACCGGUGGCGAAGGCGGAUCUCUGGGCCGAUACUGACGCUGAGGAGCGAAAGCGUGGGGAGCGAACAGGAUUAGAUACCCUGGUAGUCCACGCCGUAAACGGUGGGCACUAGGUGUGGGCGACAUUCCACGUCGUCCGUGCCGCAGCUAACGCAUUAAGUGCCCCGCCUGGGGGAGUACGGCCGCAAGGCUAAAACUCAAAGGAAUUGACGGGGGGCCCGCA